This 253-nucleotide ribosomal RNA is filed under the name uncultured bacterium. RNAcentral describes it as "partial 16S ribosomal RNA". It matches the Rfam family "Bacterial small subunit ribosomal RNA", at positions 524 to 776 of the family's 1533-position model. The record is from RNAcentral.
UACGGAGGGUGCAAGUGUUAUCCGGAUUCACUGGGUUUAAAGGGUGCGUAGGUGGGCAGGUAAGUCAGUGGUGAAAUCUCCGGGCUUAACCCGGAAACUGCCGUUGAUACUAUUUGUCUUGAAUAUUGUGGAGGUAAGCGGAAUAUGUCAUGUAGCGGUGAAAUGCUUAGAUAUGACAUAGAACACCAAUUGCGAAGGCAGCUUACUACACAACGAUUGACGCUGAGGCACGAAAGCGUGGGGAUCAAACAGG